This 482-nucleotide ribosomal RNA is filed under the name uncultured bacterium. Its description in RNAcentral is "partial 16S ribosomal RNA". It matches the Rfam family "Bacterial small subunit ribosomal RNA", at positions 30 to 507 of the family's 1533-position model. The record is from RNAcentral.
AUUGAACGCUGGCGGCAGGCUUUACACAUGCAAGUCGAACGGUAACAGGCCGCAACGUGCUGACUCGUGGCCGACUGGCGGGUAAUUCAGCGGAAUGUGGCCAGCCGUGGGGUGGAACUAGUCAAAAGAGUAGCUAAGUCCCCAUAAGCUCAUAGGAUCAUAGCGGGGGAGCGUAAGGCCUUCCGGGAUUUGGUCAGCGGAUGUGGGAUUAUGUGGUUGGUGGGGUAACGGCUCAACAAGCCAACGAUCCGUAGUUGGCCUGUGAGGACGACCAGCCACACUAGGACUGAGACACGGCCCAGACUCCUAAGGGAGGCAGCAGUGGGGAAUUUUGGACAAUGGGCGCAAGCCUGAUCCAGCAAUGCCGCGUGCAGGAAGAAGGCCUUCGGGUUGUAAACUACUUUUGUACGGGAAGAAACGACUAUGGUUAAUACCCUUGGCUAAUGACGGUACCGGAAGAAUAAGCACCGGCUAACUACGUG